UACAGAGGGUGCAAGCGUUGUUCGGAAUUACUGGGCGUAAAGCGUGCGUAGUCGGUAUUGAGAGUCGCGGGUGAAAUCCCAGGGCUUAACCCUGGAACUGCCUGCGAGACCUCAGUACUAGAGUGUGAGAGGGGAUAGUGGAAUACCCAGUGUAGCGGUGAAAUGCGUAGAGAUUGGGUGGAACACCGGUGGCGAAGGCGGCUAUCUGGCUCACAACUGACGAUCAGGCACGGAAAGCGUGGGGAGCAAACAGG
This 254-nucleotide ribosomal RNA is filed under the name uncultured bacterium. Its description in RNAcentral is "partial 16S ribosomal RNA". It matches the Rfam family "Bacterial small subunit ribosomal RNA", at positions 524 to 776 of the family's 1533-position model. The record is from RNAcentral.